ACUCAAAUGAAUAGACGGGGGCCCGCACAAGCAGCGGAGCGUGUUGCUUAAUUCGAUGCAACGCGAAGAACCUUACCUGGGUUUGACAUGCUAGGAAAAGCCGUAGAGAUACGGUGUCCUUCGGGGCUUAGCACAGGUGGUGCAUGGCUGUCGUCAGCUCGUGUCGUGAGAUGUUGGGUUAAGUCCCGCAACGAGCGCAACCCUUAUUCUAUGUUGCCAGCGCGUAAUGGCGGGGACUCGUAGGAGACUGCCGGGGUCAACUCGGAGGAAGGUGGGGACGACGUCAAGUCAUCAUGCCCCUUAUAUCCAGGGCUGCAAACACGCUACAAUGGCCGGUACAAAGGGCUGCGAACUCGCGAGGGUAAGCGAAUCCCAUAAAGCCGGUCUCAGUUCGGAUUGUAGGCUGCAACUCGCCUGCAUGAAGCUGGAGUUGCUAGUAAUCCCGGAUCAGCACGCCGGGGUGAAUACGUUCCCGGGCCUUGCACACACCGCCCGU
This 496-nucleotide ribosomal RNA is filed under the name uncultured bacterium. RNAcentral describes it as "partial 16S ribosomal RNA". It matches the Rfam family "Bacterial small subunit ribosomal RNA", at positions 899 to 1397 of the family's 1533-position model. The record is from RNAcentral.